CCUUUGUAAGUGUCUCCCACAAGCUGCUCCUGUGUUGUGUAACAAAAGGAAAAGGCAAAUAGUUGUUUAUGUUGCACACGGACAUAUUUAAGUGACGGACCAGAUGGAUCAGACUCGUCAACAAGCAUUAGAUGGGUCUCGUGUAUCAAAGGCACCAAGUUGAGGAAUUCGUUCUUCCCAGCACGGGCAAGGUAGGACGCCUCCAGUGUGGGCACCAUCGGGAAGUUUUCGUAAUCCGAGCAGGAAGGGCUAGACGCAUGGGAGCAGUUCUCUGGUGUUCUUGGAACCACAGCGGGAAUCUGACAGAGAUGGGCAGGUGGAGGAAGGUGUGAGGGUGGCGCUGCUGAAGCUGGUCACCGACAGGUCACGUCCGAUCGGAGAGAUGUCGGAGAGCUGAGAAGUCGCUGAUGCUGUUCACCAACUGGUUGUACUCGCUGUUGAAGGUGUGAGUCAGGAGGCGGAGGCACUGCGUCAGAGGAGAGUGACAACUGUCAACGUCUGGAUGAGACCUAUGUUAUUGAUUUACUAUGAACUUUUGCUCAAUAACAAUUGCGUGGCCCAUGUGGAAUUUCAUAGAUUCAUAGUUUGUGUUGAAACAAUGGAGGACUACUAUAUUGCACUACUUGGUCGCAACCAGCAGAGGACGUAAUCUAUUCAGACGAAACUAAUUUUCUGGAUAUAAAAGAUGAUUUUUUAUAACACUAUAAUAGAUGGAUAUCAGCAAAUAGAGUAACAAUUUUGGACUAUUUAUAUACAAUACUGCCACAGCAGUUGGAGGUAGACUAACUGACAUACUACUGUCACAUGUUGACAACUGGGAUGUUCCCAUCAGGUUAACCUGCCGAUUUCAAUACCGAACAUCUAUGAUUUAGAUCAGCGGUGUCAAACUCAAAUACAGAUUGGGCCAAAAUUUAAAACGCAACAAAGCCGCGAGCUGAGGUUGAACAAAUUAACCUUUUAAUAGGGACCCAAACAAGUUUUGCAUUGAAUAUUGAACAAGCAAGGCUUAUAUAACUUUAUAGUGACAUGCACAAUCGAGUUUCAAAUAAUAAUAAUCCAAAAAUAUCAAUGGCAUAUCAAAAUUUAAAUAAAAAUUGAAUGUCUCUUUUCGGCGGCGGGGUUGAAGUGGACGGGGUUUGGUGAUAGCGGGGGUUGUAUAUUGUAGUGUCCCGGAAGAGUUAGUGCUGCAAGGAGUUCUGGGUAUUUGUUCUGUUGUGUUUAUGUUGUGUUACGGUGCGGAUGUUCUCCCGAAACGUGUUUGUCAUUCUUGUUUGGUGUGGGUUCACAGUGUGGCGCAUAUUUGUAACAGUGUUAAAGUUGUUUAUACGGCCACCCUCAGUGUGACCCGUAUGGCUGUUGACCAACUAUGCCUUGCAUUCACUUGAGUAAGUGUAUAAGCCGCAUAUAUUAUGUGACAGGGACGGCACGCUGUUUGUAUGGAGGAAAAGUGGACGUGGCGACAGGUUGUAGAGAACACCAAAGGCAAUGCCUUUAAGGGCCACCCCCAAUAUUGUUGUCCGGGAUGAAAUUUGGGAGGGGCACUGUACUUUGGGCGUCUUCCGGGAAAAUCGGGAGGGUUGGCAAGUAAGAGUAUUAGCGGUGAAUGCGGUGUUACAGCAGCGGGCCAGCUCUAAUGUUAAUUUGAUAUUGCCUCAAGGGCCAAAUUAAAUUACACGGCGGGCCAGAGUUUGACACCCAUGAUUUAGAUCAUUUUUGAAGCAAUGCAUGAUGAGAAUCCGGAUGUUGUGUGUCAGUGUAUUAGCCUGCCGGAUGGAAUAAACACGCUGUGAAAUA
Nerophis ophidion (straightnose pipefish) is the source of this 1794-nucleotide long non-coding RNA. RefSeq lists it as uncharacterized. NCBI's taxonomy places the organism in Eukaryota, Metazoa, Chordata, Actinopteri, Syngnathiformes, Syngnathidae. The transcript has 4 exons. The record is from RefSeq and is a predicted model, not a curated record.